AGAGAUGGAUUGGUGCCUUCGGGAACUCUGAGACAGGUGCUGCAUGGCUGUCGUCAGCUCGUGUUGUGAAAUGUUGGGUUAAGUCCCGCAACGAGCGCAACCCUUUAUCCUUUGUUGCCAGCGGUCCGGCCGGGAACUCAAAGGAGACUGCCAGUGAUAAACUGGAGGAAGGUGGGGAUGACGUCAAGUCAUCAUGGCCCUUACGAGUAGGGCUACACACGUGCUACAAUGGCGCAUACAAAGAGAAGCGACCUCGCGAGAGCAAGCGGACCUCAUAAAGUGCGUCGUAGUCCGGAUUGGAGUCUGCAACUCGACUCCAUGAAGUCGGAAUCGCUAGUAAUCGUGGAUCAGAAUGCCACGGUGAAUACGUUCCCGGGCCUUGUACACACCGCCCGUCACACCAUGGGAGUGGGUUGCAAAAGAAGUAGGUAGCUUAACCUUCGGGAGGGCGCUUACCACUUUGUGAUUCAUGACUGGGGUGAAGUCGUAACAAGGUAAGCGUAGUGCU
This 508-nucleotide ribosomal RNA is filed under the name uncultured bacterium. RNAcentral describes it as "bacterial SSU rRNA". It matches the Rfam family "Bacterial small subunit ribosomal RNA", at positions 1002 to 1509 of the family's 1533-position model. The record is from RNAcentral.